Molecule: transfer RNA, 73 nt
Filed under: Candidatus Aenigmatarchaeota archaeon
Lineage: Archaea; Nanobdellati; Candidatus Aenigmatarchaeota
Description: tRNA-Tyr
Rfam family: tRNA
About the family: Transfer RNA (tRNA) molecules are approximately 80 nucleotides in length. Their secondary structure includes four short double-helical elements and three loops (D, anti-codon, and T loops). Further hydrogen bonds mediate the characteristic L-shaped molecular structure. tRNAs have two regions of fundamental functional importance: the anti-codon, which is responsible for specific mRNA codon recognition, and the 3' end, to which the tRNAs corresponding amino acid is attached (by aminoacyl-tRNA synthetases). tRNAs cope with the degeneracy of the genetic code in two manners: having more than one tRNA (with a specific anti-codon) for a particular amino acid; and 'wobble' base-pairing, i.e. permitting non-standard base-pairing at the 3rd anti-codon position.
Source: RNAcentral
CCCCCUGUAGCUCAACUGGCAGAGCGCACGGCUGUAGACCGUGAUGUUGCUGGUUCAACUCCGGCCGGGGGGA